Molecule: long non-coding RNA, 484 nt
Organism: Gadus morhua (Atlantic cod)
Lineage: Eukaryota; Metazoa; Chordata; Actinopteri; Gadiformes; Gadidae
Exons: 3
Source: RefSeq, a predicted model, not a curated record
AUUCACGGUACCGAUUUCCUCUCCGAUCCGCAGACGCACUUGACCAGCCACCAGCGGACGAGGUGGUAAUCAUUGGCAAUAACUGGCCCCACACCGCUGUUUUGCUCCUCAUAGAGACCUGGAGGUCUCUUAAGGAGAAGUUUGAGUGUCCCACCAUAAAAAAAACAAGCUUGGGAGAUGGUUGCGGAGUGCCUCAGAAAGGAAGCAGUUAAUGUGACAUGGCAGAUGUGUGACAACAAGUGGAGGAACCUUAGGCACAGAUACAAAAUCAUCCAUGAUGGGCAUGGGAAGACAGGACAGGGCCGGCGAAAGUGGGAGUAUUUUGCCGUGCUGGAAGAACUUUUUGCUGGCGACCCAGCUGUGCAGCCCACAGUAGUCAUCUCCUCAACCCCAACAUUCACAACCCCUCCCCCACCACCACCACCAGAUCAGGAAACACCAUCAACUUCAGCUACCAUGACUACGCCACCGGUGAAGCCAAAAA